Non-coding RNA from Gossypium hirsutum (cotton), 145 nucleotides. The record is from Rfam. Lineage: Eukaryota; Viridiplantae; Streptophyta; Magnoliopsida; Malvales; Malvaceae.
UGUUAAAAAUUUCAUCCAUUUCUACAGUUAAAAACUAGUAUGACAAACGGAAUAACUAGACGAUUAUACAUGGUGUGCUACCUAUAUCUCAUGCUAAUAUAUAUAGACCAGUUUUUAAUAGUAAAAAUUGAUGAAAUUUUUAACU